This 639-nucleotide ribosomal RNA is filed under the name Triticum aestivum (bread wheat). RNAcentral describes it as "partial small subunit ribosomal RNA". The record is from RNAcentral. Lineage: Eukaryota; Viridiplantae; Streptophyta; Magnoliopsida; Poales; Poaceae.
AUGGAGUGCCUUGAUUGCAAGAACCCGUAUGCUGUGUGUAGAGAUGUCGAGGGACCAAGUUGCCACAUAUCUGUUCCAAUGACAACUUUCUAUUGGUUUGAAUCUGUAAGACCGAGUCAUCACGAUGUUGCUCUACUGCUUUUCAACCUUGACAAACUGCCAUGCUUUUGGUCCCAUCAUUUGCGGUUUGUUCCAUGCUGCAACAGGCAAGUUCUUGGAGCAUAUAUUGAACAUAUGCAAUCCGUUGCGACCAAAGAAAAUAAGCCUGUGGGUAACCCAAUUUUCGCAACAAGAGAACUACUGGAGUAUGAAGUUAUGAUCGACCAUGGAGAUAAAAGGACCAGAAUUCAUGAAAUCGGUUGGCAAAGGUUUCUUGAUGAGUAUGCAGUGCGGCUUGGUGACAUGGUAUAUAUCUGCCUCCCUCGUGGUAAUGGGAGAUUUUUUGUGGAGGUUGAGAGGGGUGGUAUAAGGCAACUCCCACUUCCUUGUUCCCAUGUAACGGCUUCUUUCAAAAAGGCAAACGAUGGCAGACUUCCAUACACGGACAACUUGAUUUGGAGGAAGACGAUCUUGUGGUUAUCACAAUUCACAGGCACUGGGUCUCCCUCCACAACAGUCCGGAUCUGCAUCCUAUCUUAA